CAGCAGCCACGGUAAUACAGAGGGUGCGAGCGUUAAUCGGAUUUACUGGGCGUAAAGCGUGCGUAGGCGGCUUCUUAAGUCGGAUGUGAAAUCCCUGAGCUUAACUUAGGAAUUGCAUUAGAUACUGGGAAGCUAGAGUAUGGGAGAGGAUGGUAGAAUUCCAGGUGUAGCGGUGAAAUGCGUAGAGAUCUGGAGGAAUACCGAUGGCGAAGGCAGCCAUCUGGCCUAAUACUGACGCUGAGGUACGAAAGCAUGGGGAGCAAACAGGAUUAGAUACCCCUGUAGUCCCUGUCUCUUAUAC
Molecule: ribosomal RNA, 301 nt
Filed under: uncultured bacterium
Lineage: Bacteria
Description: partial 16S ribosomal RNA
Rfam family: Bacterial small subunit ribosomal RNA
Source: RNAcentral